This 424-nucleotide ribosomal RNA is filed under the name uncultured bacterium. Its description in RNAcentral is "partial 16S ribosomal RNA". It matches the Rfam family "Bacterial small subunit ribosomal RNA", at positions 359 to 775 of the family's 1533-position model. The record is from RNAcentral.
GAAUCUUCGGCAAUGGGCGAAAGCCUGACCGAGCAACGCCGCGUGAAUGAUGAACGCCUUCGGGUCGUAAAAUUCUGUUAUAAGGGAAGAACGACCUUAGUAGGAAAUGGCUAGAGUGUGACGGUACCUUAUGAGAAAGCCACGGCUAACUACGUGCCAGCAGCCGCGGUAAUACGUAGGUGGCGAGCGUUAUCCGGAAUUAUUGGGCGUAGAGAGCGCGCAGGUGGUUGAUUAAGUCUGAUGUGAAAGCCCACGGCUUAACCGUGGAGGGUCAUUGGAAACUGGUCAACUUGAGUGCAGAAGAGGGAAGUGGAAUUCCAUGUGUAGCGGUGAAAUGCGUAGAGAUAUGGAGGAACACCAGUGGCGAAGGCGGCUUCCUGGUCUGUAACUGACACUGAGGCGCGAAAGCGUGGGGAGCAAACAG